Molecule: ribosomal RNA, 321 nt
Filed under: uncultured eukaryote
Lineage: Eukaryota
Description: partial 18S ribosomal RNA
Rfam family: Eukaryotic small subunit ribosomal RNA
Source: RNAcentral
CCCUUAGAUGUCCUGGGCCGCACGCGCGCUACACUGACAUGUUCAACAAGCCUCCUAGUUCGACAGGAUUUGGGAAAUCUUUGAACGCAUGUCGUGAUAGGGAUAGAUCAUUGCAAUUAUUGAUCUUGAACGAGGAAUUCCUAGUAAACGCGAGUCAUCAGCUCGCAUUGAUUACGUCCCUGCCCUUUGUACACACCGCCCGUCGCACCUACCGAUUGAAUGUUUCGGUGAUGAUUCCGGAUAGGACUUUUUUGAUUUAUUUCAAUUUUGUCUUAAAAGCUAUCUAAACCUCAACAUUUAGAGGAAGGUGAAGUCGUAACA